UACAGGGGGUGCAAGCGUUGCUCGGAAUCAUUGGGCGUAAAGCGCGCGUAGGCGGUUCGUUAUGUCGGAUGUGAAAGCCCUUGGCUUAACCGAGGAAGUGCAUCCGAAACUGGCGAGCUAGAGUACGAAAGAGGAUCGCGGAAUUCCCGGUGUAGAGGUGAAAUUCGUAGAUAUCGGGAGGAACACCGGUGGCGAAGGCGGCGAUCUGGGUCGAUACUGACGCUGAGGUGCGAAAGCGUGGGGAGCAAACAGG
This 253-nucleotide ribosomal RNA is filed under the name uncultured bacterium. Its description in RNAcentral is "partial 16S ribosomal RNA". It matches the Rfam family "Bacterial small subunit ribosomal RNA", at positions 524 to 776 of the family's 1533-position model. The record is from RNAcentral.